RNAcentral lists this ribosomal RNA (308 nucleotides) under uncultured eukaryote. RNAcentral's name for it is "partial 18S ribosomal RNA". It matches the Rfam family "Eukaryotic small subunit ribosomal RNA", at positions 1470 to 1796 of the family's 1831-position model. The record is from RNAcentral.
CCCUUAGAUGUUCUGGGCCGCACGCGCGCUACACUGACGAAGGCAACGAGCUUUCCUUUACCGAAAGGUACGGGUAAUCUUUUGAAACUUCGUCGUGCUGGGGAUAGAUCCUUGCAAUUUUUGAUCUUAAACGAGGAAUGCCUAGUAAGCGCAAGUCAUCAACUUGCGUUGAUUACGUCCCUGCCCUUUGUACACACCGCCCGUCGCUACUACCGAUUGAAUGGUUUAGUGAGGCCUUCGGAUCCGCGACUCGUUUUGUGGAGAAGUUGGACAAACUCAGUCAUUUAGAGGAAGUAAAAGUCGUAACA